ACCCCGGUAUUAUUGCUGUUAUGGGUUUGAUUUGAGCUUAGCGUUGUUCAUUUUUUUACACAACACCCCCGUAAAAAAUACAACACGCCCCGCUCAAGCCUGCGGCCGCCAAAGACCCCGAAGGUAUAAAAAUGCCCCAAAGCGCCUCAAAAAUGCCCUUGGAGCGCUUUUUUAGGGCAA
Pseudomonas fluorescens HK44 is the source of this 180-nucleotide non-coding RNA. It matches the Rfam family "Pseudomonas sRNA P1". Rfam says of the family: There appears to be two related copies of P1 sRNA in the P.aeruginosa PA01 genome and both copies appear to be located upstream of predicted glutamine synthetase genes. This sRNA appears to be conserved amongst several Pseudomonas species. The record is from Rfam. NCBI's taxonomy places the organism in Bacteria, Pseudomonadati, Pseudomonadota, Gammaproteobacteria, Pseudomonadales, Pseudomonadaceae.